GGGUGGAGGAGAAUGGUAGGAAGUUUUUCCUAGAUGGAGCCUACAACAAAUAAGCAAAUAGUGCUUAAGACAGCUUGGGCUUGUGGGAAGGAGAGCUCAGAUGACAGAAAGUUCAUCCCAGAAUGUGUCAGGGAUUCCAAGAGCAACAAGUCACCACAUCCUAGGUUUGGAUAUACAGUUUUUAUAUUCUAGAAGCAGAAGAAAAAAGCCAUCAGCAAAAUAGCUUUCCUUCUUCCUUUCUAACCUCCUCCCCCCCAAAUUGACAUUGGUAUCUAGUUGGCAGGAUUCUUCAAGCCUUUUACCUGCCAGGUGCUAGGGGACAAAGAUGAAUAAAACACCUUCCCAGACCUCUAGUGAUGGCUCAUCUCCUGGAGAAAGGUUUUAGGAGAAGACUAAUCUCUCCAGUCACUGCAAGGCUUGAGUACACCAGUCAUUGUCUCCAACCUCUGGCCAGGACGAGAUCAUAUGCUCUGGGGAAAGCCAGCUGCCGUGUUCUGCAGACACUGAAGCAGUCUAUGCGAGGCCCACGCAGCAAGGAACAGCCUAGAGCAGCAAGAUACUGAGACCGGCCAACAACCAGUUUGCUGCCAGAACAGAGGUGAAAAUCACCACUGAAUCUAAGCCAAAAAUGGAAAAGGAAAUGGCUCAUAUUAACAUCGUCUUUAUUUGACAUAUAGAUUCAGACAAAUCUACCACCUCUGGCCAUCUGACCUACAAAUGUGGUGGGAUCAACGAAAGAACCAUUGAAAAAUUUGAGAAGGGGGUUGCUGAGAUGAGAAUGUUCUCCUUCAAGUAUGCCUGGGUCUUGUGGUGAUUCCACUUCUGGGUAUAUAUCUGAA
Long non-coding RNA from Molossus molossus (Pallas's mastiff bat), 839 nucleotides. RefSeq lists it as uncharacterized. The record is from RefSeq and is a predicted model, not a curated record. The transcript has 4 exons. Lineage: Eukaryota; Metazoa; Chordata; Mammalia; Chiroptera; Molossidae.